RNAcentral lists this ribosomal RNA (440 nucleotides) under uncultured bacterium. RNAcentral describes it as "partial 16S ribosomal RNA". It matches the Rfam family "Bacterial small subunit ribosomal RNA", at positions 338 to 795 of the family's 1533-position model. The record is from RNAcentral.
CCUACGGGAGGCAGCAGUAGGGAAUAUUGCUCAAUGGGGGAAACCCUGAAGCAGCAACGCCGCGUGGAGGAUGAAGGUUUUAGGAUUGUAAACUCCUUUUGUGAGAGAAGUUAAUGACGGUAUCUCACGAAUAAGCACCGGCUAACUCCGUGCCAGCAGCCGCGGUAAUACGGAGGGUGCAAGCGUUACUCGGAAUCACUGGGCGUAAAGAGUGCGCAGGCGGGCUUGUAAGUCAGAUGUGAAAUCCUGUAGCUUAACUACAGAACUGCAUUUGAAACUAGGAGUCUAGAGUGUGGGAGAGGUAGGUGGAAUUCUUGGUGUAGGGGUAAAAUGCGUAGAUAUCAAGAGGAAUACUCAUUGCGAAGGCGACCUACUGGAACAUUACUGACGCUCAUGCACGAAAGCGUGGGGAGCAAACAGGAUUAGAUACCCCGGUAGUC